UGGAGCAUGUUGGUUUAAUUACGAGACACGACGAAGACCUUACCAAGUCUUGACAUCGGAAUGACCGUCCCGUAACUGGGGCUUCCCUUCGGGGCAUUCCAGACAGGUGGUGCAUGGUUGUCGUCAGCUCGUGUCGUGAGAUGUUGGGUUAAGUCCCGCAACGAGCGCAACCCUUAUCCUUAGUAGCCAGCAGUUCGGCUGGGCACUCUGGGGAGACUGCCAGGGAUAACCUGGAGGAAGGUGGGGAUGACGUCAAAUCAUCAUGCCCCUUAUGAUUUGGGCUACACACGUGCUACAAUGGCGUAAACAAAGGGAAGCAAGGGAGUGAUCCGGAGCAAAUCUCAAAAAUAACGUCUCAGUUCGGAUUGUAGUCUGCAACUCGACUACAUGAAGCUGGAAUCGCUAGUAAUCGCGGAUCAGAAUGCCGCGGUGAAUACGUUCCCGGGUCUU
Molecule: ribosomal RNA, 450 nt
Filed under: uncultured Lachnospiraceae bacterium
Lineage: Bacteria; Bacillati; Bacillota; Clostridia; Lachnospirales; Lachnospiraceae
Description: bacterial SSU rRNA
Rfam family: Bacterial small subunit ribosomal RNA
Source: RNAcentral